CCUACGGGAGGCAGCAGUGGGGAAUUUUUCGCAAUGGGGGCAACCCUGACGAAGCAAUGCCGCGUGGAUGAAGAAGGCCUUCGGGUUGUAAAGUCCUUUCGUGGGGGACGAAAAGGCGGGUCCUAAUACGAUCUGCUGUUGACGUGAACCCAAGAAGAAGCACCGGCUAACUCCGUGCCAGCAGCCGCGGUAAUACGGGGGGUGCAAGCGUUAAUCGGAAUCACUGGGCGUAAAGGGUGCGUAGGCGGUACGUUAGGUCUGUCGUGAAAUCCCCGGGCUCAACCUGGGAAUGGCGGUAGAAACCGGCGCACUAGAGUAUGGGAGAGGGUGGUGGAAUUCCAGGUGUAGCGGUGAAAUGCGUAGAGAUCUGGAGGAACAUCAGUGGCGAAGGCGGCCACCUGGCCCAAUACUGACGCUGAGGCACGAAAGCGUGGGGAGCAAACAGGAUUAGAUACCCUGGUAGUCCACGCCCUAAACGAUGAAUACUAGAUGUUUGGUACCUAGCGUACUGAGUGUCGUAGCUAACGCGAUAAGUAUUCCGCCUG
This 545-nucleotide ribosomal RNA is filed under the name uncultured Acidithiobacillus sp. RNAcentral describes it as "bacterial SSU rRNA". It matches the Rfam family "Bacterial small subunit ribosomal RNA", at positions 338 to 875 of the family's 1533-position model. The record is from RNAcentral. Lineage: Bacteria; Pseudomonadati; Pseudomonadota; Acidithiobacillia; Acidithiobacillales; Acidithiobacillaceae.